RNAcentral lists this ribosomal RNA (468 nucleotides) under uncultured bacterium. RNAcentral's name for it is "partial 16S ribosomal RNA". It matches the Rfam family "Bacterial small subunit ribosomal RNA", at positions 28 to 507 of the family's 1533-position model. The record is from RNAcentral.
GACGAACGCUGGCGGCGUGCUUAACACAUGCAAGUCGAACGGAAAGGCCCUGCUUUUGUGGGGUGCUCGAGUGGCGAACGGGUGAGUAACACGUGAGUAACCUGCCCUUGACUUUGGGAUAACUUCAGGAAACUGUGGCUAAUACCGGAUAGGAGCUCCUGCUGCAUGGUGGGGGUUGGAAAGUUUCGGCGGUUGGGGAUGGACUCGCGGCUUAUCAGCUUGUUGGUGGGGUAGUGGCUUACCCAGGCUUUGACGGGUAGCCGGCCUGAGAGGGUGACCGGCCACAUUGGGACUGAGAUACGGCCCAGACUCCUACGGGAGGCAGCAGUGGGGAAUAGUGCACAAUGGGCGGAAGCCUGAUGCAGCAACGCCGCGUGCGGGAUGACGGCCUUCGGGUUGUAAACCGCUUUCGCCUGUGACGAAGCGUGAGUGACGGUAAUGGGUAAAGAAGCACCGGCUAACUACGUG